GAUGAAGAACGUAGCGAAAUGCGAUAAGUAAUGUGAAUUGCAGAAUUCGGUGAAUCAUCGAAUCUUUGAACGCACAUUGCGCCCGCCAGUAUUCUGGCGGGCAUGCCUGUUCGAGCGUCAUUUCAACCCUCAAGCCCAGCUUGGUGUUGGGGAUCGGCACAGGCGCCCUCGGGCGCCCGCCGUCCCCUAAAUCUAGUGGCGGUCCCGCUGCAGCCUCCUCUGCGUAGUAGUUUUCUCCUCGCAAGGGCAGCUCGGUGGCGAACGCGCCGUAAAACCCCCAACUUCUGAAAGGUUGACCUCGAAUCAGGUAGGAAUACCCGCUGAACUUAAGCAUAUCAAUAAGCGGAGGA
Molecule: unclassified non-coding RNA, 350 nt
Filed under: soil metagenome
Description: partial contains 5.8S ribosomal RNA, internal transcribed spacer 2, and large subunit ribosomal RNA
Rfam family: 5.8S ribosomal RNA (bases 1-120)
Source: RNAcentral